This 655-nucleotide long non-coding RNA is filed under the name Rattus norvegicus (Norway rat). RNAcentral's name for it is "long non-coding RNA NONRATT002740". Lineage: Eukaryota; Metazoa; Chordata; Mammalia; Rodentia; Muridae. The record is from RNAcentral.
GGUGUGCUCAGCUGGCCUUCUCUUGCCACCUGUGAGCAGCACUCACUCCUGGCCGUUCUUAUCAUUGGUACCCAUUGCUGCUCCCCCUAUAAUGAGUGAAACCAGCCCGAGGUAUCAGAUUAUUUCAUUUCUAGAUACCAAAGAAAGUGACCACUUCUCAAAAUGGUCUGCCAUGAUUGUCCUCCUGACAUUUAAAAUGUGCCUUGAAUUUCUGGGAAGAAAAGGACCCCACGCAAGCCAAAAGACUGUGCUGGUAUUAGCAAUAGUUACAGUACAUAUUCAAAGCAAACACACGCUCCACAAAUACGUCUUUUUAUAGCCACUCUUCCUGAAACACAAUUAAAAUUAGAUGAUGUGAGUUAAGAGAGAGGAACAAAGGACAUUAAAAUGACAUUAAAAGAAGAAAAGAAGAAAGAUUGAAACUCUCGAAGGAAAUGGACAGAUGGGAAAUGUCAGCAGCUUUUUGGAAGGAUGAUAAAAACCAGCCACUGUGCGGUGACUGGGCGGGCUUCUCUCUGCUCUCUCCCCCUGCUCGGGGCUGAGGGAGAAGCUUGGUAUCCAGAGGAAACUGACUGGCUCGACUCGGUCUUACAAAGGCACUGGAAUUAGUCAGCAGCUGGCUGAAGGGAGAGUAAACACUAAAAGAUUGGUUUAC